UGGUUGAUCCUGCCAGUAGUCAUAUGCUUGUCUCAAAGAUUAAGCCAUGCAUGUCUAAGAAUAAACCGAAUAUGGUAAAUCCGCGAAUGGCUCAUUACAACAGCCUUAGUUUGUUGGAUCUAAAUCCACAGCAAUAACUGUGGAAAAGCCAGAGCUAACUCUGCAUUCAAGUCCCGACUUCGGAAGGGACGCAUUUGUUAGAACAAGACCAAUUGGCUUCGGCCAUCUAUUGGUGAAUCUGAGCAACUUAGCAGAUCGCAUGGGCUCGUCCCGGCGACAUAUCCUUCAAGUGUCUGCCUUAUCAACUGUCGAUGGUAGUUUAUUGGACUACCAUGGUUGUAACGGGUAACGGAGAAUUAGGGUUCGACUCCGGAGAGGGAGCCUGAGAUACGGCUACCACAUCCAAGGAAGGCAGCAGGCGCGCAAAUUACCCACUCUCAGUUCGAGGAGGUAGUGACGAAAAAUAACGAGACAGUCUUCUAUGAGGUCUGUCAUCGGAAUGGGUACAAUUUAAACCCUUUAACGAGGAUCUAUUGGAGGGCAAGUCUGGUGCCAGCAGCCGCGGUAAUUCCAGCUCCAAUAGCGUAUAUUAAAGUUGUUGCGGUUAAAAAGCUCGUAGUUGGAUCUGCGACCAUCAAGACCGGUAGCCCAUUGGGUUUCACUGGUGCUUGUGGUCUCCUUGCUGGUCUUUCCUUGGUGCUCUUAACUGAGUGCCUUGGUUGGCUAGUGCUUUUACUUUGAAAAAAUUAGAGUGCUCAAAGCAGGCGUUUGCCUGAAUAGUGGUGCAUGGAAUAAUGGAAUAGGACCUCGGUUCUAUUUUGUUGGUUUUCGGAGCUCGAGGUAAUGAUUAAGAGGGACAGACGGGGGCAUUCGUACUGCUACGUUAGAGGUGAAAUUCUUGGAUCGUAGCAUGACGAACAACUGCGAAAGCAUUUGCCAAGAAUGUUUUCAUUAAUCAAGAACGAUAGUUAGAGGUUCGAAGGCGAUCAGAUACCGCCCUAGUUCUAACCGUAAACGAUGCCAACUAGCAAUCCGCUGGCGUUAAUUUUGACUCAGCGGGCGGCUGCCUGGAAACGAUAAGUUUUUCGGUUCCGGGGGAAGUAUGGUUGCAAAUCCGAAACUUAAAGGAAUUGACGGAAGGGCACCACCAGGAGUGGAGCCUGCGGCUUAAUUUGACCCAACACGGGAAAACUCACCCGGCCCGGACACUGUAAGGAUUGACAGAUUGAAAGCUCUUUCACGAUUCAGUGGGUGGUGGUGCAUGGCCGUUCUUAGUUGGUGGAGCGAUUUGUCUGGUUAAUUCCGAUAACGAACGAGACUCUAGCCUACUAAAUAGUGCGUGGAUCAAUAAGUCCUCGCUACUUCUUAGAGGGACAGGCGGCGUCUAGCCGUACGAAAUUGAGCAAUAACAGGUCUGUGAUGCCCUUAGAUGUCCGGGGCUGCACGCGCGCUACACUGUAGUAAGCAACGUGCUUCAAAACCUUUCCUGAAAAGGAUGGGUAACCCCAGCAAAUUACUACGUGCUUGGGAUAGAGAUUUGCAAUUUUCUCUCUUGAACGAGGAAUUCCUAGUAAGUGCGAGUCAUCAGCUCGCGUUGAUUACGUCCCUGCCCUUUGUACACACCGCCCGUCGCUACUACCGAUUGGGAAAGUUUCAGAGUGUCUAGGACUGGCGAUUGUUCGGCUUCACGGCCUUACUUUAGCCGGAAAUAGACGCGAUGUAAUUUUUCUAGAGGAAGUAAAAGUCGUAACAAGGUU
This 1757-nucleotide ribosomal RNA is filed under the name metagenome. Its description in RNAcentral is "SSU rRNA". It matches the Rfam family "Eukaryotic small subunit ribosomal RNA". The record is from RNAcentral.